This 1106-nucleotide ribosomal RNA is filed under the name Actinomycetota bacterium. RNAcentral describes it as "partial 23S ribosomal RNA". It matches the Rfam family "Bacterial large subunit ribosomal RNA", at positions 1 to 1056 of the family's 2925-position model. Lineage: Bacteria; Bacillati; Actinomycetota. The record is from RNAcentral.
CGGCAAGUUACGAAGGGCAUUCGGUGGAUGCCUUGGCACUGGAAGCCGAAGAAGGACGUUGCAGGGUGCGAUAAGCCGCGGGAAGUUCCCAAGCAAGCGUGGAUCCGCGGAUGUCCGAAUGGGAGAACCCGGCACGGGUCAUGCCGUGUCACCCCUGCCUGAACACAUAGGGCAGGGGAGGGAACCAGGGGAAGUGAAACAUCUCAGUACCCUGAGGAAGAGAAAACAAUAGUGAUGCCCCCAGUAGUGGCGAGCGAACGGGGCACAGCCUAAACCCGUGUGGUGGCAAAGCCGGCAGGCGUUGCCAUGCGGGGGUCGUGGGACGCAGCGGAGGGCUCUGCCGGGCCCUCGAGGAGUUACAAAGCGCGCGGAUAGCGGAACCGGCAUGGAAAGGCCGGCCACAGAGGGUAACAGCCCCGUACGCGAAAUCCGACGCGCCUCUUGUUGCUGUUCCCAAGUAGUGCGGUACCCGAGAAAUUCCGUACGAAUCUGCGGGGACCACCCCGUAAGGCUAAACACUCUCCAGUGACCGAUAGCGGACAAGUACCGUGAGGGAAAGGUGAAAAGUACCCCGGGAGGGGAGUGAAACAGUACCUGAAACCGAGUGCCUACAAGCCGUCGGAGCGGGUCCCUCGGGGCCUGUGACGGCGUGCCUUUUGAAGAAUGAGCCGGCGAGUCAGCGAUCAGUGGCGAGGUUAACCGGACGACGGGUAGCCGCAGCGAAAGCGAGUCUGAACAGGGCGUCGAGUCGCUGGUCCUGGACCCGAAGCGGUGUGAUCUAUCCAUGGGCAGGCUGAAGCGCGGGUAAGACCGCGUGGAGGGCCGAACCCACCUAGGUUGAAAACUGGGGGGAUGACCUGUGGAUAGGGGUGAAAGGCCAAGCAAACCCGGUGAUAGCUGGUUCUCCCCGAAAUGCAUUUAGGUGCAGCGUCACGUGUUCAGUAUCGGUGGUAGAGCACUGGAUGGACUAGGGGCCCAACAAGGUUACCGAAUUCAGCCAAACUCCGAAUGCCGAUACUCCAGAACGUGGCAGUGAGACUGCGGGGGAUAAGCUCCGUAGUCGAGAGGGAAACAGCCCAGAUCGCCAGCUAAGGUCCCUAAAUCUU